GACGAACGCUGGCGGCGUGCUUAGCACAUGCAAGUCGAACGGAAAGGCCCUGCUUUUGUGGGGUGCUCGAGUGGCGAACGGGUGAGUAACACGUGAGUAACCUGCCCUUGACUUUGGGAUAACUUCAGGAAACUGGGGCUAAUACCGGAUAGGAGCUCCUGCUGCAUGGUGGGGGUUGGAAAGUUUGGCGGUUGGGGAUGGACUCGCGUCUUAUCCGCUUGUUGGUGGGGUAGUGGCUUACCAAGGCUUUGACGGGUAGCCGGCCUGAGAGGGUGACCGGCCACAUUGGGACUGAGAUACGGCCCAGACUCCUACGGGAGGCAGCAGUGGGGAAUAUGGCACAAUGGGCGGAAGCCUGAUGCAGCAACGCCGCGUGCGGGAUGACGGCCUUCGGGUUGUAAACCGCUUUCGCCUGUGACGAAGCGUGAGUGACGGUAAUGGGUAAAGAAGCACCGGCUAACUACGUG
Molecule: ribosomal RNA, 467 nt
Filed under: uncultured bacterium
Lineage: Bacteria
Description: partial 16S ribosomal RNA
Rfam family: Bacterial small subunit ribosomal RNA
Source: RNAcentral